UUAAAGCCAAAUCAGUAUCAC
Molecule: non-coding RNA, 21 nt
Filed under: Arabidopsis thaliana (thale cress)
Lineage: Eukaryota; Viridiplantae; Streptophyta; Magnoliopsida; Brassicales; Brassicaceae
Source: RNAcentral